GGCAGUUCUUGGGUGAUGCACCCCAGAAUCGGACUCCCUCCUCUCUGGUUCCAGAUGUGUCACCUGAGAACCACA
This is a non-coding RNA of Myotis davidii, 75 nucleotides long. The record is from Rfam. Lineage: Eukaryota; Metazoa; Chordata; Mammalia; Chiroptera; Vespertilionidae.